This 386-nucleotide RNase P RNA is filed under the name Dehalococcoidia bacterium. RNAcentral's name for it is "RNase P RNA component class A". It matches the Rfam family "Bacterial RNase P class A". From Rfam's summary of the family: Ribonuclease P (RNase P) is a ubiquitous endoribonuclease, found in archaea, bacteria and eukarya as well as chloroplasts and mitochondria. Its best characterised activity is the generation of mature 5'-ends of tRNAs by cleaving the 5'-leader elements of precursor-tRNAs. Cellular RNase Ps are ribonucleoproteins. Lineage: Bacteria; Bacillati; Chloroflexota; Dehalococcoidia. The record is from RNAcentral.
AAAAAGUGCAAGGUAAUCGCCUUCAUUAUGAAGGAGGAAAGUCCGGGCUCCUGCGGACAAGAUGCUGGGUAACUCCCAGGCACAAAAUUAGAAUAUUUUGUGACGGAUAGUGGCACAGAAACCAAACCGCCAAUUUAUUGGUAAGGGUGAAAACGUGCGGUAAGAGCGUACGGCUGUCAGAGGUGACUCUGCAGUGGCUAAACCCCAUCUGGAGCAAGGCCAAAUAGGGAAACUAUGAUUGUUCGCGUCACUUUAGUUUUCGGGUAGGCUGCUUGACCCCAAUGGUAACAUUUCUGAAAUUCAGAGCAUUUUUAUGUGGGGCUAGAUAGAUGAUUACCGCCUCUGUAACGGAGGUACAGAACCCGGCUUACUAACAUUUUUUAUCG